Molecule: ribosomal RNA, 253 nt
Filed under: uncultured bacterium
Lineage: Bacteria
Description: partial 16S ribosomal RNA
Rfam family: Bacterial small subunit ribosomal RNA
Source: RNAcentral
GACGAAGGUGGCGAGCGUUACUCGGAAUUACUAGGCGUAAAGCGUGGGCAGGCGGUUCAGUAAGUCUGUUGUGGAAGCUCCCGGCUCAACCGGGAGAGGCCAAUGGAAACUGCUGAGCUUGAAUUGAGGAGGGGUCACUGGAAUUCCCGGUGUAGCGGUGAAAUGCGUAGAUAUCGGGAGGAACAUCCAUGGCGAAAGCAGGUGACUGGACUCAUAUUGACGCUCAUCCACGAAAGCUGGGGGAUCAAACAGG